Molecule: ribosomal RNA, 429 nt
Filed under: Bacillota bacterium
Lineage: Bacteria; Bacillati; Bacillota
Description: Firmicutes bacterium partial 16S ribosomal RNA
Rfam family: Bacterial small subunit ribosomal RNA
Source: RNAcentral
UAGGGAAUCUUCGGCAAUGGACGGAAGUCUGACCGAGCAACGCCGCGUGAUUGAAGAAGGUUUUCGGAUCGUAUAGCUCUGUUGCUUGAGAAGAACGUUGGUAGGAGUGGAAAAUCUACCAAUUUACGGUAACUAACCAGAAAGUGACGGCUAACUACGUGCCAGCAGCCGCGGUAAUACGUAGGUCCCGAGCGUUGUCCGGAUUUAUUGGUCGUAAAGCGAGCGCAGGCGGUUCUUUAAGUCUGAAGUUAAAGGCAGUGGCUUAACCAUUGUACGAUUUGGAAAAUGGAGGACUUGAGUGCAGAAGGGGAGAGUGGAAUUCCAUGUGUAGCGGUGAAAUGCGUAGAUAUAUGGAGGAACACCGGUGGCGAAAGCGGCUCUCUGGUCUGUAACUGACGCUGAGGCUCGAAAGCGUGGGGAGCAAACAGG